RNAcentral lists this non-coding RNA (809 nucleotides) under Homola orientalis. Lineage: Eukaryota; Metazoa; Arthropoda; Malacostraca; Decapoda; Homolidae. The record is from RNAcentral.
UUGUUUAAAAAAGUUUGAUUCUUGCUUUUUGUUUUAUUUUAUAGUAGAAAUGUAUAUGUAAGUUUUGAUUUGAUAUUAUGAUUUUAAUUUAAAAUUAUUUUAUAAGACAGAAUACUCUCAGUAUAUAAUAUUAAUUAUUAAUAAAGUUAGAAUUAGCAUUCUAUUCAAGGAUCUGAUGAAAUUUUGUGCCAGCAGUCGCGGUUAAUACUUUGAAGGUCGAGUAAAAUUAGGUUAACUAUUAGUAAAAUUGUAUUUUUUUUUUGUUUUUAUUCUGUUAAAAGGUUAAAUUAGUUUAAUGUAAAUAAAAAGUUUAUGAAAAAGUAUUGAAGCUAAUAAGUCUAUGAUAUAAACUAGGAUUAGAUACCCUAUUAUACUUAGAUGAAAUAAAAAAGAGUUAAUUAGUAUUAGUUAUUUUCUUAAAAUUAAGAGAAUUUGGCGGUUAAUUAGUCUUGUUAGAGGAACCUGUUUUUUAAACGAUAAACCACGAAAAUCUUACUUAUAUUUGUUUUCAGUUUGUAUACCGUCAUUAUUAGAUGAUUUUUAUUGAAAUAAUUGUUUAAAUUUAAUUUGGUUAAAUAUAUUAGAUCAAGGUGCAGCUUAUAUAUAAGUUAAAAUGGGUUACAAUAAAAUUUAUUUAUAAUGGAUUUAUUCUGUAAGAGAGUAAUGAAGGAGGAUUUAAUUGUAAUAUAAAGUUAAUAAUUUUGUAUGAUAUCAGCUCUGAUUUAUGUACAUAUCGCCCGUCACUUUCGUUUUAAAAUGAUAUAAGUCGUAACAUAGUAGAUGUAUUGGAAAAUACAUCUAGUUGUAAA